Molecule: ribosomal RNA, 468 nt
Filed under: uncultured bacterium
Lineage: Bacteria
Description: partial 16S ribosomal RNA
Rfam family: Bacterial small subunit ribosomal RNA
Source: RNAcentral
GACGAACGCUGGCGGCGUGCUUAACACGGGCAAGGCGAACGGAAAGGCCCUGCUUUUGUGGGGUGCGCGAGUGGCGAACGGGUGUGUAACACGAGAGUAACCUGCCCUGUACUUUGUGAUAACGUCGCGAAACUGGGGCUAAUACCGGAUAGGAGCUCCUGCUGCAAGGUGGGGGUAGGAAAGAUUCGGCGGUUGGGGAUGGACUCGCGGCUUAUCAGCUUGUUGGUGGGGUAGUGGCUUACCAAGGCUUUGACGGGUAGCCGGCCUGAGAGGGUGACCGGCCACAUUGGGACUGAGAUCAGGCCCAGACUCCUCCGCGCGCCAGCAGUCGGGAAUAUUGCCCUAUGGGAGGAAGCACGAUGAAGCAAAGCGGCGUGUGGUAUCACGGCAUUCGGGUUGUAAAACGCUUUAGACUGAGACGAAGCGUGAGUGCCGGUACUGGGUAAAGCAGCACCGGCUAACUACGUG